This 838-nucleotide ribosomal RNA is filed under the name uncultured bacterium. RNAcentral describes it as "bacterial SSU rRNA". It matches the Rfam family "Bacterial small subunit ribosomal RNA", at positions 8 to 852 of the family's 1533-position model. The record is from RNAcentral.
AGAGUUUGAUCAUGGCUCAGGACGAACGCUGGCGGCGUGCCUAACACAUGCAAGUCGAGCGGAGCGGGCUGAGGGAGUAGCGAUACUUUCGAGGCCUGUUUAGCGGCGAACGGGUGAGUAACACGUGGGCAAUCUGCCCUCCGGGUCGGGAUAACAGACCGAAAGGCCUGCUAAUACCGAAUGAGGCGGCGAACUCGCAUGAGUAUGCCGUCAAAGGGGAAACCCGCCGGGGGAGGAGCCCGCGUCCCAUUAGCUAGUUGGUGAUGUAAAGGACCACCAAGGCGAUGAUGGGUAGCCGGCCUGAGAGGGUGAACGGCCACAUUGGGACUGAGACACGGCCCAGACUCCUACGGGGGGCAGCAGUGAGGGAUUUUCGGCAAUGGGCGAAAGCCUGACCGAGCGACGCCGCGUGAGCGAAGAAGGCCUUCGGGUCGUAAAGCUCUGUCUAGGGGAAAGAGUAAGGACGGUACCCCUGGAGGAAGCCACGGCUAACUACGUGCCAGCAGCCGCGGUAAUACGUAGGUGGCGAGCGUUGUCCGGAAUUACUGGGCGUAAAGGGCGCGCAGGCGGUUUGUUAAGUCCGGGGUGAAAUCCACCGGCUCAACUGGUGGGGGACCCUGGAUACUGGCAGGCUGGAGUGCGGGAGAGGGAAGCGGAAUUCCACGUGUAACGGUGAAAUGUAUAGAUAUGUGGAGGAACACCGGUGGCGAACGGCGGCUUCCUGGACCGUAACUGACGCUGAGGCGCGAAAGCUGGGGGAGCGACAGGAUUAGAUACCCUGGUAGUCCCAGCGUAAACUAUGACACUAGUGUGGGGGUAUCGACCCUACGUGCGCAGC